CCUACGGGAGGCAGCAGUGGGGAAUAUUGCACAAUGGGGGAAACCCUGAUGCAGCGACGCCGCGUGCGUGAGGACGUAUUUCGGUAUGUAAAGCUCUAUCUGUAGGGAAGAAAAUGACGGUACCUGACUAAGAAGCCCCGGCUAACUGCGAGCCAGCAGCCGCGGUACUACGUAGGGGGCAAGCGUGAUCCGGAUUUACUGGGCGUAAAGGGAGCGUAGGCGGCUAAUCAAGUCUGAAGUGAAAACCCAGGGCUCAACUUUGGGACUGCUUUGGAAACUGGGUAGCUAGAGUGCAGGAGAGGUAAGCGGAAUUCGUAGCGUAGCGGUGAAAUGCGUAGAUAUUAGGAGGAACACCGGUUGCGAAGGCAGCUUACUGGACUGUAACUGACGUUGAGGCUCGAAAGCGUGGGGAGCAAACAGGAUUAGAUACCCGUGUAGUC
RNAcentral lists this ribosomal RNA (440 nucleotides) under uncultured bacterium. RNAcentral describes it as "partial 16S ribosomal RNA". It matches the Rfam family "Bacterial small subunit ribosomal RNA", at positions 338 to 795 of the family's 1533-position model. The record is from RNAcentral.